Lagenorhynchus albirostris (white-beaked dolphin) is the source of this 2522-nucleotide long non-coding RNA. RefSeq lists it as uncharacterized. The record is from RefSeq and is a predicted model, not a curated record. Lineage: Eukaryota; Metazoa; Chordata; Mammalia; Artiodactyla; Delphinidae. The transcript is spliced from 3 exons.
AAUGGAAGAUGAAGCAUUCUUCAUUCCAGAAGACAGGAAGCGCAGAAGCUCAGCAGGGACCUCCUGAGGCCAGAUUAAAGGAGCGCAGGCCCUGCACACACCCUGGUCCUUGUCAGCACCCCCGCCCUGGAGCCCUUGCUACAAAACUCCUCACCAAACCCUCCCGGGUUGGGACACACAGUGUUCAAAGGCAGGAACCUGCUGUGUCCCCCUUUGCCUGGAAAAGUAUUAAAGCUCUUCUUUUCUACCUCACCCAGCUGUGUCUCCAAGAUUCCAUUCAGCACCGGUGCACGGAGGCCGCGUGUUCUGCGUCAGUAUUGAAGCCAGAACUGGAAUGCGGGCACUCGGUUCCGGUGCCGGCGCUUUAAACCAUCACGUUUUCAUUUCUCCAUGAGCGUCUCCAAAAAGACAUUUCAGACGUAUGAAAUGUACAUUUAUAUUAAGCACUUGGUGUUUAUUUUAUGACUCCACACCGUUUCAGUCAUAAAUAUGUAACUUAAAAAUUCUACUGCCAACAACAAACAUGCAUCAUUUUGAUUUUGGUCUCACAUCAAAAGGGCGGUGCCCCAAGCCUACAGGAGCGAGGCACUCCGUCAGUGAAACCGUCACGGUGUCUUGGAUGGAAUACCCUUUCUAGUGGCUAUGGAAAUGUGAGAUGAAUCUUCUGAAACCAUCCAAAGGGAAAAGGCUCUGUUGCCCUGAUUCUUAGCGAGAAGACGUUUUGCCAUAAAAUCGCCGUUACUGUGUUCCUGGGCCUGACAACCCGUGAUGAGGGAAAAUCAUAAUUUGUAUUCACAUCAGCUUCUGAAGGACAGAAGUAGGAAAAAGCAAAGGCAGUGAGGUGACUAACUUGUUUCUGGGGAAAAGUGAACGUUCUAAGUAGGAGACAGAGUUUCUGUUACCGCUAACCUUGAGGUCAUCAUGGGCGUGACCAAGGCGGCAAUCUGUCGGGAGCUUCGAUGCAGGCGUGCUGCUGGACCCAAGAAGCUACAAGGGUUUACAGAGAAGCAGAGGAAGAACAGAGAGGCCAAGCGAUUUACCUAAGACCACUCGGGCUGUAGGUGGCAGAGCCAGGUCCUGAACUUGGCUGUUAUUAAUUCGGUGGAGGAUUUUAUCAUUAAUGGUGUCUUAAAAUAAAGAUAACACUAAGUAAUUUUUUUGGCUGAAUAAAGAAGUCUUUCCCUAACUUCUCUCCUUUUCUCACCAUCACUGAGUCAUCACCAGGGUAAGUCUCAUCCUUCCAAAAACUUUCUAGGACAAAUCCUUAGCCCCACUGCCCCCAAAGUAAUGAUAAUAUCCUCUAGGUUUGCUGAUGCACCCUCCCUGAAAUUGACCGUAAAUGCUUUGAUGGCAGAAAUCGUGCCUACUCUCUCUCUCCUGUUUUCAGUCCAACCACCCCUGGACCGCCUGCCCACCACAGCACUUAACUCUGCAUGUGUGCACUUCCAUGUUGAACACAUCUUUUAAUAGCUGGUGAGUGAAAUUAACAAAAGUAUGAAGUAGCCAAAUGCAGUUACAGCCAUGAUAAAUCUUCAUGGAAGAAAAAUGAAUGAGGAGCAGCUCCUUCCGACAUAGUGACGGAGACUGGAGCCAUGUGGAGUUCAUUUUCUUGCUUGGCUGUCAGUCAGAGUUGCGGAGCUUGUAAACGGAAGAGCUAAAUUAUGGAAAACAGGAGUCAAAAUGUACAAAUCUCUAGGCUCACACCUAAGUGAAAAUUAUUCAUAUGAUUUUAUUUAUUUGAUGAGCUGAAAGAAGACCAGGUGAGCACUUCCCAAACCGGAAGCAAUGCAGAAUCUGUCUUUUCAGAAGUCCGAUGGUAAUACUCAUUCCAAUAUUACAAGGUUGUUUCUAAAGCCUGGCAAACAGCCCAAUUCAUAUUGCCUGAGUGGUUUAAAUAGAGUUAUGAUAGAAAAAUCUUAUGGAACAGAUGGUUCACAAGACUCUAAUAGCCAAUCUGUUAUAGCCAAGAUGUCAUCAUUUUGAAAAAUAACUUCUAGGAAAGUAUCUUCUUCAUAUUUUGAAAGUAUGAUGUCAAAUGAAAUCCUUUGCUUUUUAAUUUUAGAUUUUAAAUUUGUGUGUUACAAUUUAAAACAUGUAUGUGUGUGCAAGCAUGUGGUUUUGAAAUAAUAAUUGCUGACUGUUGCUGCCUGGGGAGAAGAAAUUUCAAGAACCACUGAGCUAAAAUGGGAAAUGAAGGGUCACUGUUUAUGAAGAUUCAUACGUAGAGUAAUUUAAUGAAAUGACAAUUCACUUUGCAUCUCCUGUGCUUUGGGCAAUUAAUUUUACUGUGAAAUAUUAGACUUCAGCUCUGAGUUAAUGUCUUACAAAAUAAAGAAACUGUCGUGGACUGAGCCAAACAUGCCACUUCACGAUUAAAAACAGCAUAUAGGGAACUAUACUCAAUAUUUUUAACACCUAUAAGGAAAAGAAUCUGAAAAAAUAUAUAUAUGUGUGUGUGUAUAUAUAUAUAUAUAUGAAUGUAUAACUGAAUCACUUUGCUGUAUACCUGAAAUUAACACAUU